GGGAAUGUGGCUCAGUGGUAGAGUACUUGCCUAGCAUGCAUGAAGCCCUGGGUUUGAUUCCUCAGUACCA
RNAcentral lists this transfer RNA (70 nucleotides) under Dipodomys ordii (Ord's kangaroo rat). It matches the Rfam family "tRNA". Rfam says of the family: Transfer RNA (tRNA) molecules are approximately 80 nucleotides in length. Their secondary structure includes four short double-helical elements and three loops (D, anti-codon, and T loops). The record is from Rfam by way of RNAcentral. Lineage: Eukaryota; Metazoa; Chordata; Mammalia; Rodentia; Heteromyidae.